Molecule: ribosomal RNA, 493 nt
Filed under: uncultured bacterium
Lineage: Bacteria
Description: bacterial SSU rRNA
Rfam family: Bacterial small subunit ribosomal RNA
Source: RNAcentral
GGUGGUGCAUGGUUGUCGUCAGCUCGUGUCGUGAGAUGUUGGGUUAAGUCCCGCAACGAGCGCAACCCUUAUCCUUAGUAGCCAGCAGGGAAAGCUGGGCACUCUAGGGAGACUGCCAGGGAUAACCUGGAGGAAGGUGGGGAUGACGUCAAAUCAUCAUGCCCCUUAUGAUUUGGGCUACACACGUGCUACAAUGGCGUAAACAAAGGGAAGCGAAGUGGCGACAUGGAGCGAACCCCAAAAAUAACGUCUCAGUUCGGAUUGCAGGCUGCAACCCGCCUGCAUGAAGCCGGAAUCGCUAGUAAUCGCAGAUCAGAAUGCUGCGGUGAAUACGUUCCCGGGUCUUGUACACACCGCCCGUCACACCAUGGGAGUCGAUAACGCCCGAAGUCAGUGACCCAACCGAAAGGAGGGAGCUGCCGAAGGCGGGAUGGAUAACUGGGGUGAAGUCGUAACAAGGUAGCCGUAUCGGAAGGUGCGGCUGGAUCACCUC